CCUCAAUCAAGGGACUGGAGCAGCUGCAACUGAGUUUCAAAACAUGAAGUUAGUAGCAGCGAGACGCUCAGCUCGAGGAUUCAUAAUGAGACUUCACUAACCGGUGGGCAACCUCAAGUCAGCCUGUGGAAGAGCUUCUGCCAGAGCUACGCUACACUACGCCCAAACUGCUCAGGUGUGAGGCAUCCUUAACGAGGUCAGCUCCACCCACUGAUUACCUGGAAGAGAUUGGCAGACAGAGCCAACGAGGAAAGUAAAGCAUAAAAGGAGAAGGCUGAAAUAAAUGAAACUGGCUGCCAUGCCACCGGUGUGCACUGGUUAUAUUCAAAUGACGUCCACUGUAAAAUAAUCUGUGACAUUACCCACCAAGGAAAGUAACUUCUAAAAGUACUUGGCUUCCCAAAAAUGGUGAAACAAUUACAGGGUACUGUAGUUUGAUUUUUUAGACUCCUCAAACAGCAGCUCACUUCAUUUUUUUUAUCAAAUUUGACUCAGAUGUGGUGCGUUAGCUGAGGACUUCUUUCAGCGGUGGAUUAAUACGCACUUCUUCUUCUUGCUUAUGUCCUUCAUGUCUGCAGUGAAGCACUUGUGGCACUUUCUGUGCUUUAGAAAGCCCUUUACCCUGUUUAUUUUAUUUCUGCAUGAGUAGUUUUGCAUCUUGUGUAACAAGACUAUGAACCAGAAGCUUCUCUGUGGGUUUUUUGUCCCUGCCUGUCAGCCCU
Molecule: long non-coding RNA, 722 nt
Organism: Oreochromis niloticus (Nile tilapia)
Lineage: Eukaryota; Metazoa; Chordata; Actinopteri; Cichliformes; Cichlidae
Exons: 3
Source: RefSeq, a predicted model, not a curated record